RNAcentral lists this RNase P RNA (376 nucleotides) under Peromyscus maniculatus bairdii (prairie deer mouse). Its description in RNAcentral is "Nuclear RNase P (ENSPEMG00000004273.2)". The stretch from base 2 to 337 matches the Rfam family "Nuclear RNase P". Rfam says of the family: Ribonuclease P (RNase P) is a ubiquitous endoribonuclease, found in archaea, bacteria and eukarya as well as chloroplasts and mitochondria. Its best characterised activity is the generation of mature 5'-ends of tRNAs by cleaving the 5'-leader elements of precursor-tRNAs. The record is from RNAcentral. Lineage: Eukaryota; Metazoa; Chordata; Mammalia; Rodentia; Cricetidae.
AGAUGAGGGAAGUUUAUCAGCCAGGGCCACACGCUGAGUGCUUGUCACUCCCUGGCCCUUGGGAAGGUCUGAGACUGGGCCCUCCCCCAGCCAGCGAGUGGGAAGGUUCAUUCCCAGAGUGGGCAGAAUGGGCAGGAGAGUCCCUGAGUGGGUGGAUGCCUCCUUCACAGGAGCUUGGAACAAACUCAGGGCAAGGGUGGGCAGUAUUAGCCUGUAGAGAGGCAACAUGGCUCUUACAGAGGAUGGGAGUGCAAGUUCCUUAUGGGGGGGAGUAGGGGGGGAGCUAGGGGUGGUGGGGAGUUUACUGCCUACACACUCUGAAUCUAAAUCCCCCUCCCUUCCUUCCUAAGCCAAGUUCAUAGUUAGCUUCCCAUCU